RNAcentral lists this ribosomal RNA (402 nucleotides) under uncultured bacterium. RNAcentral describes it as "bacterial SSU rRNA". It matches the Rfam family "Bacterial small subunit ribosomal RNA", at positions 917 to 1322 of the family's 1533-position model. The record is from RNAcentral.
GGGCCCGCACAAGCAGUGGAGCAUGUGGUUUAAUUCGAUGAUACGCGAGGAACCUUACCAGGGCUUAAAUGGGAGAUGACAGGGGCAGAGACGCCCUUUUCUUCGGACAUCUUUCAAGGUGCUGCAUGGUUGUCGUCAGCUCGUGCCGUGAGGUGUCAGGUUAAGUCCUAUAACGAGCGCAACCCCUGUUGUUAGUUGCCAGCGAGUCAUGUCGGGAACUCUAACAAGACUGCCGGUGCAAACCGUGAGGAAGGUGGGGAUGACGUCAAAUCAUCACGGCCCUUACGUCCUGGGCUACACACGUGCUACAAUGGCAGUGACAGAGGGACGCUACCAGGUGACUGGAUGCAAAUCUCAAAAAGCUGUCUCAGUUCGGAUUGUUGUCUGCAACUCGACAACAUG